UACGUAGGGUGCAAGCGUUGUCCCGGAAUUAUUGGGCGUAAAGAGCUCGUAGGCGGUUUGUCGCGUCGAAUGUGAAAACCCGGGGCUCAACCCCCGGGCCUGCAUUCGAUACGGGCAGACUAGAGUUCGGUAGGGGAGUCUGGAAUUCCUGGUGUAGCGGUGAAAUGCGCAGAUAUCAGGAGGAACACCGGUGGCGAAGGCGGGACUCUGGGCCGAUACUGACGUGAGGAGCGAAAAGCGUGGGGGAGCAAACAGG
This 256-nucleotide ribosomal RNA is filed under the name uncultured bacterium. RNAcentral's name for it is "partial 16S ribosomal RNA". It matches the Rfam family "Bacterial small subunit ribosomal RNA", at positions 524 to 776 of the family's 1533-position model. The record is from RNAcentral.